RNAcentral lists this signal recognition particle RNA (204 nucleotides) under Alicyclobacillus acidocaldarius subsp. acidocaldarius DSM 446. RNAcentral's name for it is "Bacterial large signal recognition particle RNA". It matches the Rfam family "Bacterial large signal recognition particle RNA". Rfam says of the family: The signal recognition particle (SRP) is a universally conserved ribonucleoprotein involved in the co-translational targeting of proteins to membranes. Archaeal SRP consists of a 7S RNA and homologues of the eukaryotic SRP19 and SRP54 proteins. The record is from Rfam by way of RNAcentral. Lineage: Bacteria; Bacillati; Bacillota; Bacilli; Caryophanales; Alicyclobacillaceae.
CAGAAAGAUCGGUGUCCGGCGAGCCGGACACCGAUUGUGCCAAAAUGGGCGAAAAAACGCGGCUUUGGACCAAAUCCUGAUUGGGUCCCGCGCGGCGAAAACUCCCGAACCGUGUCAGGUCCUGACGGAAGCAGCACUAAGGGAGACCUUUCGGGCGACGCGGGGGUGCCUGAUCGGGGUUUGGUUCAAGGCCGCGUUUUGCUG